Molecule: ribosomal RNA, 168 nt
Filed under: uncultured rumen bacterium
Lineage: Bacteria
Description: partial 16S ribosomal RNA
Rfam family: Bacterial small subunit ribosomal RNA
Source: RNAcentral
UACGGGAGGCAGCAGUGGGGAAUAUUGGGCAAUGGGCGAAAGCCUGACCCAGCAACGCCGCGUGAGGGAAGAAGGUCUUCGGGUUGUAAACCUCUGUCCUUCGUGAAAAGCAAGGAUGGUAGCGAAGGAGGAAGCUCCGGCUAACUACGUGCCAGCAGCCGCGGUAAU